CUAGUGGGAGUAACUCCUUCUAAGCUAAAUACAACCAUGAGACCGAUAGUAAACAAGUACCGUGAGGGAAAGUUGAAAAGCACUCUGAAUAGAGAGUCAAAGAGUACGUGAAACUGCCAAGGGUGUAAAGCUUGUGGAACUCAACCUGUAGUUACGAACCGUAAUGAUUAUGCCAAAACCGUGUCGCGGAGCGCUCCCUCGGAGUCGUCCCGUCCUUUUGGCGUACCAUGACCGGUUCGCACGCUGCCAUCGUGAUCCAUUACGAAGUGGGCGCGGCGACCCUCCGGGGUUGCUGCAAACAUGUCUGACACAAGGUCCCGGAACCAAUGCGGUCGACCCUCUAGUAGUGGCGCUCAGCUUAACGCCGGCGUCGCGAACGGGGGAUUGAGGCUCCGGUCUCAAGUUCGGCUAGGUUCAGGUGUGCCGUUGGACGCGUGAUGGAACGACCGAAAGGGAAGGUAGCUGGAAGCGCAUGUUAACGCAUGUAACUGGGCGCAAGCCCAGGGCGACCACUGCUCCUGAUCGACGAUGCAAUUCUGAUUGAGGUACCCACGGGACCCGUCUUGAAACACGGACAAUAAAAUUCACAA
This 590-nucleotide ribosomal RNA is filed under the name Anopheles yatsushiroensis. Its description in RNAcentral is "eukaryotic LSU rRNA". It matches the Rfam family "Eukaryotic large subunit ribosomal RNA", at positions 289 to 680 of the family's 3401-position model. Lineage: Eukaryota; Metazoa; Arthropoda; Insecta; Diptera; Culicidae. RNAcentral also lists the same sequence under 1 other name. The record is from RNAcentral.